CCUUCUUUUUCUCUCUUUCCUCUUCCUUCCUUUUCUUCCCUCUUCCUCCUUCUGCUGGUAAGACAGGUGUGAAAUCCCCGGGCUUAACCUGGGAACUGCAUUUGUGACUGCCUAGCUAGAGUUUGUCAGAGGGGGGUGGAAUUCCACGUGUAGCAGUGAAAUGCGUAGAGAUGUGGAGGAACACCGAUGGCGAAGGCAGCCCCCUGGGCCGAUACUGACGCUCACGCACGAAAGCGUGGGGAGCAAACAG
RNAcentral lists this ribosomal RNA (250 nucleotides) under uncultured prokaryote. Its description in RNAcentral is "partial 16S ribosomal RNA". The stretch from base 46 to 250 matches the Rfam family "Bacterial small subunit ribosomal RNA", at positions 567 to 775 of the family's 1533-position model. The record is from RNAcentral.